Molecule: unclassified non-coding RNA, 1121 nt
Filed under: Haliotis rufescens (red abalone)
Lineage: Eukaryota; Metazoa; Mollusca; Gastropoda; Lepetellida; Haliotidae
Description: uncharacterized LOC124112502, transcript variant X6
Source: RNAcentral
GCCUGGUUUCAGUCAAGAGGUCAUACAAUGGUCGUCGCUAUCACUGGGAGCACACGGACGUUGAGCCAGCUAUUAUCUUUACUCGUGCACACAGCAGGGUCAAGGACAAGGCUCCACAACCCUGAUGUUAUCAACUUUAUAAUAUUCGGUGCGCUCGAGUGGAGAGUUUACCAUAUACUCAAAGAGGAAUAUCUCCCGGAUGAUUGGAUCAAGGUCAGAAAGAGUGAAGGUGUCAUGGAAAAAGGCUGAAUUUGAACCAAAUACACAACCAGGCAGGCAUCGCGCUGUCACCAUGUAACUCCGACUGAAGACUAGCUUCAACAGCCAUCCAUGCGGACAUGCUGCGCCUUUAGUGGAUGGUGAUCCUGCCGAGUGUUAAGAGGCGGGAAGCGGAGUUCAAGAGGGGAAGAAAGAGAUUCAAAGAUGAUCCAAGACUAGGAAGACGUUCAACUGCCACCACUACGGAAACUGGGACUUGAGGCAGAUAUUUCAUCCUUCCCGUGUAUGGGUAGAAAAACCGCUUCAAUAUUAACAGUCAACCGGGAUUUUUCAUCUGACGAAGUAAACAAGGCUGUACAGAAAGUGUCCAAGAAACAUUCGCCCUGUCUGAUGGUGUUCGUGAAUAAGGAUGCAACUGCCUAUGCAAUUGUCAACCUCUCUUCUUGUCCAACAUUUAGAAAGUCAGUGCUCCAUCUGCUGGCAGAGUACUAUAUGGAUAUCAAAUCCAAGACAGUAUUCUCAGAUUACUGGCCUCUAACAGCAAUUGGUUUUGGGUGAAGUGAAGUAACAUGUUCACUGAACAGAAUGUGCAGUUUCCUGACAUUUGGACUAAUUUGUGACCCGUGGAACAGAAGCUGUAAAGCCCAUUGCAUUCAGUGUCAAAAGACAUCCGACUUUGAUCUACUGACAGCUUUAUUGGUAAUUAUUGUGUGUGUUUUAAUAGUUCUGCUUUUCAGGGGGUAAAGUAUAACUAUGCAAUACACAAUUCCUAUUGUCACAAUAAUGAUGCUUUUCCGACAGUUAAUUUUCUUUGUGAAUAAGGGAGCUUGUUUCCAGGUAUGUCAUCAUCGUGUUUAUAAUAGUCUUUAUUACAUAAGAUGAUAUAGUUAUGCUAAUAAGAA